UACGUAGGGUGCAAGCGUUGUUCGGAAUUACUGGGCGUAAAGGGCGCGUAGGCGGGCCCGUAUGUCGAUUGUGAAAGCCCUGGGCUCAACCUGGGAAUUGCAGUCGAAACUGCGGGUCUUGAGUGCCUGAGAGGAUGGCGGAAUUCCCGGUGUAGAAGUGAAAUUCGUAGAUAUCGGGAAGAACACCUGAGGCGAAGGCGGCUAUCUGGCGGUGCACUGACGCUGAUGCGCGAAAGCGUGGGGAGCAAGCAGG
Molecule: ribosomal RNA, 253 nt
Filed under: uncultured bacterium
Lineage: Bacteria
Description: partial 16S ribosomal RNA
Rfam family: Bacterial small subunit ribosomal RNA
Source: RNAcentral